Culex pipiens pallens (northern house mosquito) is the source of this 2708-nucleotide long non-coding RNA. RefSeq lists it as uncharacterized. NCBI's taxonomy places the organism in Eukaryota, Metazoa, Arthropoda, Insecta, Diptera, Culicidae. The transcript is spliced from 2 exons. The record is from RefSeq and is a predicted model, not a curated record.
CAAGUUCUGUAAAAGCACAUAGUCAGAACACUUCGAAAUUUUGAAAAUUUGAUUUCAAGAUACCUAAAUUCUUGCACAAAUCCGGAACCGAUAAAAAACCACAAAAAAACCGGCCCUUACCGCAAGAAUGGCCACGAUUCUCAAGAUCAUUCCAUAUCACCGUAAAAAAAAUGAAAAUAAAUGACAACACUAAAUAAUCACAGCUUGCUGUGAUCUGUCAAAAUAGUUAAAACCGUUAAAACCUAUCGGGCCCGUGCGAACGGUUCGGUUUUAACUUGGUUAUAACUUAUAACCAUUUCGUUAAAACCGGCUAUAACUCGCCCGUGCGAACGGGGUAUCAGAUUAAAACUGGUUUUAAGAGUUAUAGCCAAGUUAUAACUGCUCGAAAAGGGAACUCGACUACUUGAAAACUCAUAGUAGCCUUUGGAAACAUUUGAAAACGUACAACAUUGACAGGAACAAAACAACAUUUUUCGCGACGGCUGCUUCAUUUAACUUUGCUGAAAACGUUCAACGAACCGGCCAGCCCCAACUCCACGGAACGGAUGGAUCACCGCGGGAAACUAUACAGAAGAAUCCCCGGGAGGUGAAUUUGUUUGUGUUGGCGAAACUACUCUGGCUGAAAAUUCCCGCAACGGAAGAUUGGCUCGAACGCUGGAGUAUUGGUUUGUGCUAGGGGUUUCCGGUUGAACCUGGCGAUUCCGGAGGUCACAUUGACGCGCGAAAAGAUUCCCUUCCAUCCAAACCCGGAUGCUAAUUGACUUGAUGGGGAUCACCAGAAUCGAGGGCACCUUCCCGGAGAACCUGCAAACGGCAUGCACGUCCUUCAUCGCAACAAGCAAAAAUCUUAUGGGUGUCCUGGAAGCUUUCGUGUACAAUAUCGCGUUCCUGGAACAAUGGCUACACGCGUCUAGCCUCCGGGACUCGGUCGGACGGGGCGAUACACUUCUUCUCUCGAUCUGCGACCACGGGUUGCUCUUCUCUCGACCGGCUUCGGUCAACUGCUGCUCUUGUACUCUACCCUCUUCUGGGCCACCUACCUCAACGCUGUGGGGUGGGGGAGAUCAUGCGUGUUUGGCUAUUUGACCCUAAUUUCUGCUUGGUGAUUGUCAGUCGUCCUUCCGCAGGCUGGAACAGAUGAUCUCGGUGGCAGUCUGGUUUCCACUGGGGAGCAACUUGAACUCCGCCCUUCAGGCGAUGGAGGGUGUGCUGCUGAAGGAUUGCGGCAAGAGGACGACGUUUUCAGCUGGCUCGAUGGCUGCCGACGGAUGAUUGUUCCCAUGUGUGCAACUCCUACGGUGUUGGGGCAGAUCAACUCCACUUGCUCAGGGUUGACCCCUACAGAUGACCCACUAGCAUACCACGGUUAGUGCGCCGCCACGGUAGCGUCAAAUGACUCGGAGACUUUUGGCGUGUCGUCUCCUACGGACUGAUCCAUGUGAUGCGUUCUGUCCCGGUUUCGAAUAGGCGGCACCAAUCGAGAAUCGGUGUGGUCUGCGGAGUCGCUGACAGGAUUCUCAGGAACUUUAGCACAUGCGCAGGUCGGUCCGACAGGAUAGCAAUGUUUAGUAGCCCAGCGUUGAUCACGACGUCGCUGGGCAUGAUACACACUUAGUCGCGUGCGCUGGUGGUCCCCAGUCAGUAAAUGGAUCGCUGUCUGUGCAGGUGACAAUGUAUAGUUUUCGCUCUACAGCGGUCGGUAGGCGUGCAACACGGCGUCGAACGGAAGCAGUUCGGCUGGCAGGGCACAGGUGUAGCGUACACCUCGCUAUUCCACACGCGAAUCGAUGCCGAUACCCAGGCGUCUUCUAAACGCUUUGAGAACUAAUGUGAUCGAUCUCUUCACGGUCUUGCAAUGAGCUCCAAAAGGCUCGCGUGAUCGCGGAUGGCGAUAAAUGGGGGAAACGCGAAGCACUUGAUCGUGACUGUGAUAUUCUCAAGCUUGUAAUAAAACACAAUAAUGCGGCUUUCAACGCACCGCUUUAUUCGUCCAUCUUCGUACACAGACUGAACUCACAGCGUUCACACGCUUAUCUUCGUUUACCUAAACUGAACACUAAUUUAGGCAUAACACGGCUAAUCUAGAAUGCCACAUCCUCCCCUUCGAUAAAUUAUGAAUGAAUGAUAACUUAAAAACUAUCACUCGUAUUGUAACUCUUAAUUCUAGGUCCUCGAUGAACUGUAUCGUAGAAGUGAUGUACACAGCGUUCGGUCCCUCCGGUAGUCAUCAUCAAUUCUUUGAAUUCCAAAUCAUUGCUCCUUCUGUUCUUCCCUCUUCCUCUGCUACCGCUAAAAAGAAAGAAAAAAAAAAAACAAACGAGAAAAAAACAGAGAAAAGCAAACCACAAACAAAAACAUAAUAUUAACCGAACAGUGAUCUAAAUCAAAUUCAGCAAUUUAUACCAUAAAGUACUAAACUUAUUUCAUAAUUUUCCUGCAAUCUUCUGAUACUGCUAACAAUUGCAAAUCCCUUGUCCCAGUUUGCCUGUAUUUCCCUAAUUCCUUUUGUUUACUUUGAUCAGGCUUACCCACAAACAGUUUAUUUUAUAUUCCUUCAAAUUAUACAUUUAUCAUAGAGUUAAAUGAACAUAGUAAUUUAAUAACUUUUUCUAAUGCUAUCUUUGAAGACCCUUACAAUAAUAACCAUCCUAUAUAUAAUCCUAAUCAUCAUCUGAAAUCGAUUGCUUUAUGGAGAGAAGGUAGCGCAU